UGCGUCAUCUCAUGCAAGUGAUGCAAGUCCAGAAUUGUCCAGAAAGCUAUCCGCAUCAGCAGCACCAUUCUGCCCUUCCCCAGCCAUUCCCCGCGUACCACCAUUACCUAUGAACAUUAAUCUCCCUUCUCCUGGAACACGACCACCUAUUGGUCCUUGGUCAGUGAACAUGUCUCUUCAUCAAGGACCACCGACCAUCUUGCCUAGUCCAAUGUGCUCCUCCCCUCAUCACCUGUACCCUUCACCUCCACACACCCCAAACAUGAUGCACCCAUUGCGCUUUAUCUACCCUCCGUAUUCUCAACCCCAGACGUUACCUCCAAGUACAUUCCCCAUGAAUAACAGCACUUUCCAUCCGAAUCAUUAUGCUUGGCAAUGCAAUAUAGCUCCUAAU
Molecule: long non-coding RNA, 394 nt
Filed under: Solanum tuberosum (potato)
Lineage: Eukaryota; Viridiplantae; Streptophyta; Magnoliopsida; Solanales; Solanaceae
Description: long non-coding RNA (STUB_LNC002212)
Source: RNAcentral